UCCGGGGGUAGAGCACUGUUUCGGCAAGGGGGUCAUCCCGACUUACCAACCCGAUGCAAACUGCGAAUACCGGAGAAUGUUAUCACGGGAGACACACGGCGGGUGCUAACGUCCGUCGUGAAGAGGGAAACAACCCAGACCGCCAGCUAAGGUCCCAAAGUCAUGGUUAAGUGGGAAACGAUGUGGGAAGGCCCAGACAGCCAGGAUGUUGGCUUAGAAGCAGCCAUCAUUUAAAGAAAGCGUAAUAGCUCACUGGUCGAGUCGGCCUGCGCGGAAGAUGUAACGGGGCUAAACCAUGCACCGAAGCUGCGGCAGCGACGCUGAUGCGUUGUUGGGUAGGGGAGCGUUCUGUAAGCCUGUGAAGGUGUGCUGUGAGGCAUGCUGGAGGUAUCAGAAGUGCGAAUGCUGACAUAAGUAACGAUAAAGCGGGUGAAAAGCCCGCUCGCCGGAAGACCAAGGGUUCCUGUCCAACGUUAAUCGGGGCAGGGUGAGUCGACCCCUAAGGCGAGGCCGAAAGGCGUAGUCGAUGGGAAACAGGUUAAUAUUCCUGUACUUGGUGUUACUGCGAAGGGGGGACGGAGAAGGCUAUGUUGGCCGGGCGACGGUUGUCCCGGUUUAAGCGUGUAGGCUGGUUUUCCAGGCAAAUCCGGAAAACUAAGGCUGAGGCGUGAUGACGAGGCACUACGGUGCUGAAGCAACAAAUGCCCUGCUUCCAGGAAAAGCCUCUAAGCAUCAGGUAACAUCAAAUCGUACCCCAAACCGACACAGGUGGUCAGGUAGAGAAUACCAAGGCGCUUGAGAGAACUCGGGUGAAGGAACUAGGCAAAAUGGUGCCGUAACUUCGGGAGAAGGCACGCUGAUAUGUAGGUGAAGUCCCUCGCGGAUGGAGCUGAAAUCAGUCGAAGAUACCAGCUGGCUGCAACUGUUUAUUAAAAACACAGCACUGUGCAAACACGAAAGUGGACGUAUACGGUGUGACGCCUGCCCGGUGCCGGAAGGUUAAUUGAUGGGGUCAGCGCAAGCGAAGCUCUUGAUCGAAGCCCCGGUAAACGGCGGCCGUAACUAUAACGGUCCUAAGGUAGCGAAAUUCCUUGUCGGGUAAGUUCCGACCUGCACGAAUGGCGUAAUGAUGGCCAGGCUGUCUCCACCCGAGACUCAGUGAAAUUGAACUCGCUGUGAAGAUGCAGUGUACCCGCGGCAAGACGGAAAGACCCCGUGAACCUUUACUAUAGCUUGACACUGAACAUUGAGCCUUGAUGUGUAGGAUAGGUGGGAGGCUUUGAAGUGUGGACGCCAGUCUGCAUGGAGCCGACCUUGAAAUACCACCCUUUAAUGUUUGAUGUUCUAACGUUGACCCGUAAUCCGGGUUGCGGACAGUGUCUGGUGGGUAGUUUGACUGGGGCGGUCUCCUCCUAAAGAGUAACGGAGGAGCACGAAGGUUGGCUAAUCCUGGUCGGACAUCAGGAGGUUAGUGCAAUGGCAUAAGCCAGCUUGACUGCGAGCGUGACGGCGCGAGCAGGUGCGAAAGCAGGUCAUAGUGAUCCGGUGGUUCUGAAUGGAAGGGCCAUCGCUCAACGGAUAAAAGGUACUCCGGGGAUAACAGGCUGAUACCGCCCAAGAGUUCAUAUCGACGGCGGUGUUUGGCACCUCGAUGUCGGCUCAUCACAUCCUGGGGCUGAAGUAGGUCCCAAGGGUAUGGCUGUUCGCCAUUUAAAGUGGUACGCGAGCUGGGUUUAGAACGUCGUGAGACAGUUCGGUCCCUAUCUGCCGUGGGCGCUGGAGAACUGAGGGGGGCUGCUCCUAGUACGAGAGGACCGGAGUGGACGCAUCACUGGUGUUCGGGUUGUCAUGCCAAUGGCACUGCCCGGUAGCUAAAUGCGGAAGAGAUAAGUGCUGAAAGCAUCUAAGCACGAAACUUGCCCCGAGAUGAGUUCUCCCUGACUCCUUGAGAGUCCUGAAGGAACGUUGAAG
This 1971-nucleotide ribosomal RNA is filed under the name Escherichia coli. Its description in RNAcentral is "partial 23S ribosomal RNA". It matches the Rfam family "Bacterial large subunit ribosomal RNA", at positions 895 to 2843 of the family's 2925-position model. Lineage: Bacteria; Pseudomonadati; Pseudomonadota; Gammaproteobacteria; Enterobacterales; Enterobacteriaceae. The record is from RNAcentral.